GUGUUGCCAUAGUCUCCGAAGUUUGCUUUUAAAGCUCACUCACAGUUAGAAAAGUCAAGCAUCCAGACAUUUGAAGGACUAUUUGCACAUUAAGGUGACAUUUUCUAUUUUAAAAGUUCUCAAAACAUUAAGAUGAAAAAGGAAACAAGAAAAGUUACGACUGAGGCAGAUAAGAAAGAUCCAGGAGAUCAAAAUUGUAAGACCAGAAUGACAAAAAGAAAGGCCAGUCCUGAAAAGAAGACCCCCAUAAAAAGAAGGAGGGUCAGUGAGCAGGCUGGUCCUUCCACCAGCUCAGAUGCUCAUGUGAUCAAAGGAGUCAAGCGCAAGGUCCAACAAGAUGAAGCGGGGACAACCAAUACAGCAAAAAAGUGUAAACUUCUUGACCAUAUGAGCGGUGACAAGGGGCAAGCAUCUUCCUGGUUGGACACUGGUAAAGACUGCAGCAUAGACAUUUCAGAGAGCUGCAGUAAAAACCAAAACGCUGGCAAAAGGAAAGCUGCGGGAGACAGGAGGGACCCACCUAAGAAGAAGAACGUGGACCAGGACAAAACCAAAAAUGUUGCCAAAAAGUCAGUGGCCGAACAGAAACGUAAGUAGCAAGCAGCUUGGCUUUUAUAUUCAGGUGAAGACCAAAAUGAACAUUUAGGGUACAACAGAG
Oreochromis aureus is the source of this 658-nucleotide long non-coding RNA. NCBI's taxonomy places the organism in Eukaryota, Metazoa, Chordata, Actinopteri, Cichliformes, Cichlidae. The record is from Ensembl.